ACGGAAGGCAGCAGUGGGGAAUAUUGCACAAUGGGCGCAAGCCUGAUGCAGCGACGCCGCGUGAGUGAGGAAGUAUUUCGGUAUGUAAAGCUCUAUCAGCAGGGAAGAAAAUGACGGUACCUGACUAAGAAGCCCCGGCUAACUACGUGCCAGCAGCCGCGGUAAUACGUAGGGGGCAAGCGUUAUCCGGAUUUACUGGGUGUAUAGGGAGCGUAGACGGCAAGGCAAGUCUGAUGUGAAAGGCAGGGGCUCAACUCCUGGACUGCAUUGGAAACUGUCUGGCUGGAGUACCGGAGGGGUAAGCGGAAUUCCUAGUGUAGCGGUGAAAUGCGUAGAUAUUAGGAGGAACACCAGUGGCGAAGGCGGCUUACUGGACGGUAACUGACGUUGAGGCUCGAAAGCGUGGGGAGCAAACAGGAUUAGAUACCCUGGUA
This 434-nucleotide ribosomal RNA is filed under the name uncultured Lachnospiraceae bacterium. RNAcentral's name for it is "partial 16S ribosomal RNA". It matches the Rfam family "Bacterial small subunit ribosomal RNA", at positions 341 to 792 of the family's 1533-position model. The record is from RNAcentral. Lineage: Bacteria; Bacillati; Bacillota; Clostridia; Lachnospirales; Lachnospiraceae.